UAGGGAAUCUUCCACAAUGGGCGAAAGCCUGAUGGAGCAACGCCGCGUGAGUGAAGAAGGUUUUCGGAUCGUAAAACUCUGUUGUAAGGGAAGAACAAGUACAGUAGUAACUGGCUGUACCUUGACGGUACCUUAUUAGAAAGCCACGGCUAACUACGUGCCAGCAGCCGCGGUAAUACGUAGGUGGCAAGCGUUGUCCGGAAUUAUUGGGCGUAAAGCGCGCGCAGGCGGUCCUUUAAGUCUGAUGUGAAAGCCCACGGCUCAACCGUGGAGGGUCAUUGGAAACUGGGGGACUUGAGUGCAGAAGAGGAAAGUGGAAUUCCAAGUGUAGCGGUGAAAUGCGUAGAGAUUUGGAGGAACACCAGUGGCGAAGGCGACUUUCUGGUCUGUAACUGACGCUGAGGCGCGAAAGCGUGGGGAGCAAACA
RNAcentral lists this ribosomal RNA (427 nucleotides) under uncultured bacterium. RNAcentral's name for it is "partial 16S ribosomal RNA". It matches the Rfam family "Bacterial small subunit ribosomal RNA", at positions 355 to 774 of the family's 1533-position model. The record is from RNAcentral. RNAcentral also lists the same sequence under 1 other name.